GCUGUUUGCAUUUUCAGCUUAAAUUUAAAAAUAACUAAUCAUCUGCGCCUCUCUUUGACUGUGUGUGUGUGUGCACAGCGCGGAAUUGGAUUGAACAACGUAAAAUGGAGGGGGUCGAAGUGAAAUGAAUGCCAAUCGAAAGGCCAAACACACACAUACAUGCAUGCAUACAUUAGUCAAUUAAUG
Drosophila albomicans is the source of this 186-nucleotide long non-coding RNA. RefSeq lists it as uncharacterized. NCBI's taxonomy places the organism in Eukaryota, Metazoa, Arthropoda, Insecta, Diptera, Drosophilidae. The record is from RefSeq and is a predicted model, not a curated record. The transcript is spliced from 2 exons.